GCCUGGGUGGCUCAGCUGGUAAAGCGUCUGACUUUGGCCCAGGUCAUGAUCUCAUGGUUCGUGGGUUCCAGACCCACGCUGGGCU
RNAcentral lists this transfer RNA (85 nucleotides) under Felis catus (domestic cat). It matches the Rfam family "tRNA". From Rfam's summary of the family: Transfer RNA (tRNA) molecules are approximately 80 nucleotides in length. The record is from Rfam by way of RNAcentral. Lineage: Eukaryota; Metazoa; Chordata; Mammalia; Carnivora; Felidae.